Molecule: ribosomal RNA, 233 nt
Filed under: uncultured bacterium
Lineage: Bacteria
Description: partial 16S ribosomal RNA
Rfam family: Bacterial small subunit ribosomal RNA
Source: RNAcentral
CGGACGGGUGAGUAACACGUGGGAACGUGCCCUUGGUUCGGAACAACUCAGGGAAACUUGAGCUAAUACCGAAUGUGCCCCCUCCCCUUAAUCAGGAGGGUGGGAAAGAUUUAUCGCCAUUGGAGCGGCCCGCGUCUGAUUAGCUAGUUGGUGGGGUAAAGGCCCACCAAGGCUACGAUCAGUAGCUGGUCUGAGAGGAUGAUCAGCCACACUGGGACUGAGACACGGCCCAG